This 528-nucleotide ribosomal RNA is filed under the name uncultured bacterium. Its description in RNAcentral is "partial 16S ribosomal RNA". It matches the Rfam family "Bacterial small subunit ribosomal RNA", at positions 355 to 893 of the family's 1533-position model. The record is from RNAcentral.
UGGGGAAUAUUGCACAAUGGGCGAAAGCCUGAUGCAGCAACGCCGCGCGAGGGACGACGGCCUUCGGGUUGUAAACCUCUUUUAGCAAGGAAGAAGCGAAAGUGACGGUACUUGCAGAAAAAGCGCCGGCUAACUACGUGCCAGCAGCCGCGGUAAUACGUAGGGCGCAAGCGUUAUCCGGAAUUAUUGGGCGUAAAGAGCUCGUAGGCGGUUUGUCGCGUCUGCUGUGAAAACCCGAGGCUCAACCUCGGGCCUGCAGUGGGUACGGGCAGACUAGAGUGCGGUAGGGGAGAUUGGAACUCCUGGUGUAGCGGUGGAAUGCGCAGAUAUCAGGAAGAACACCGAUGGCGAAGGCGAUCUCUGGGCCGUAACUGACGCUGAGGAGCGAAAGGGUGGGGAGCAAACAGGCUUAGAUACCCUGGUAGUCCACCCCGUAAACGUUGGGAACUAGUUGUGGGGUCCAUUCCACGGAUUCCGUGGACGCAGCUAACGCAUUAAGUUCCCCGCCUGGGGAGUACGGCCGCAAGG